GCAAAAAUGGAUUCUACAACACCACCGCAGGCCAAAACCCAAACACAGUUUAUGGCCUUUUUCUUUGCCGCGGUGACUUAAGCACACAAGUCUGCCAAGAUUGUGUCACCUUUGCUACCCGAGACAUCGUUCAACGAUGUCCUGUGGAAAAAGUUGCCUUCAUUUGGUACGAUGAGUGCCUUCUGCGUUACUCAAAUCGGUCCAUCUUCUCCAUAAUCGAACAAAAUCCGAUGCGAGCAUUGUAUAAUACGCAGAAUAUAACCCAACAGGAUCGUUUCAACGAGCUAGUAGCAGAAACCAUGAAAGAUGCAACUGCUAAGGCAGCCAGCGCUAUUUCAGGUGCUAAAAAGUUUGGAACAGAAGUUGCUAAUUUCACGAGCUUUCAGACACUUUACAGCCUCGUGCAAUGCACACCAGACCUAUCUGAGGCUGAUUGCAAUAGGUGUUUAAGGCAAGCUAUUGCGUAUCUUCCUGCCUGUUGCAGUGGAAAGCAAGGAGCGCAGGUUCUAACUCCUAGCUGCAGCACUAGAUAUGAAUUGUAUCCGUUUUAUAACUUGACGGAGGUAGCAGCUCCACCUCCUUCACAUCUGUUUCUUUCUCCGCCUCCACCUCCUCUAAUAGGACCUAAAGAUAAAAGCCAUAACCCAUCGGCAAUAAUCAUCGCUAUUGUUGCUCCAAUUGCUGUGUCCGUUUUGCUUUUCGUAUUAGGAUGCUGUUUCCUAAGUCGAAGGGCAAGAAAGAAGCAGAACUUGACCAUAGAAGAAGAAAAUGAUGGAGAUGAAAUUAUGACUGUAGAAUCCUUACAAUAUGACUUAGCUACCAUAGAAGCUGCCACUAGCAUGUUCACUGAGGAUAACAAGUUAGGCGCAGGUGGAUUUGGUGACGUUUACAAGGGUACACUUCCUAAUGGACAAGAAAUAGCUGUGAAGCGGUUAUCAAGAAGCUCUGGGCAAAGCACAGAAGAAUUUAAGAAUGAGGUUAUACUGAUAGCCAAGCUUCAACACAGAAAUC
RNAcentral lists this unclassified non-coding RNA (1011 nucleotides) under Hevea brasiliensis (rubber tree). Lineage: Eukaryota; Viridiplantae; Streptophyta; Magnoliopsida; Malpighiales; Euphorbiaceae. The record is from RNAcentral.